Molecule: long non-coding RNA, 1740 nt
Filed under: Lactuca sativa (garden lettuce)
Lineage: Eukaryota; Viridiplantae; Streptophyta; Magnoliopsida; Asterales; Asteraceae
Description: long non-coding RNA (LSAT_LNC001913)
Source: RNAcentral
UUUAUUUAAAACCCUAUUGCCUCUUCCAUCGACACCCACAAAAUCGCAUCCCUCCCGUUUCCAUCCAAAAUUACUGAACCACCUCCGACUAGCACAUCCACUUUUCUGUGAAGCUACGAUUGAAGCACUGUAACCCACCGUACAUCUUCAAGCUACGAUUGUUGUCGUUCUUUCUCUCUCUCUCUCUCUCUCUCUCUCUCUCUCUCUCUCUCUUUUACUCUUUUUCUCGUUCGAUUUGGUUUAAAUCAACAAAAGAGCAAAAAUCGUGAUUUGGUUUGUGAAUUAUCACCGGAUCGAUGCAAUAGGGAUUUAGGCUUUAAGGUAGGAAACCGAGAACCGGGCAUCAGUGGAGGCGGUGGUUGUUGGAGGAAGGGAUUUAAUUAUCGCCAUCGUCAAGAUUGGGACUCAAUUUGACUGUGUGCUUCAUCGAUUCAGUCGACCCUAUUCUCUUAGCUAUCAUCGAUUUCUCCCAGGUAAGUUCUCGAUUCCUCAAAAUCGGUAUGUUGUUCGACCCCUUAAUCUAAAUCUGCGUUUUUGAAUUUUAUUUUUUUGUCAAUUCAAUUGUUUAGGUCUCCCAGCCUGACAUAAGUUCCCACGCGUAUAUACCUCACCUGAAGGUCCAACUAUAGCGAAUAACUCCAACACCAACAAUGAAAAUCUAUUUUCUUCAUUGAUUUGUGAUAUCAAAACCUACAAUGCCGCAUAUCCUCUUCUCUCAUCGCUCCGAUAAGCACAAAACCCUAAAUCUAUUUUUCAUGCAGUUCCUUGUCACAAAUUGAACUCUGUUUUCUUGUAGCAACUAUGCUUAGAUUGAAAAAUCAUUUAUAUUUAAUAUUUAUGUUAUUGUUGUGUAUGUGAAGUUGGAUUUUGUUGAUGACCCUAGUGUUGUUCUAGAGAACAUGAAAGCGAAUCACAUUGGGAACAAGAGGUCAUUAUUUUACCAGGCUAUGCUCUUUAUUAUGAGAAAUUGAAGAAAGUUACUGAUGCUGAAGGAGUGCAAAAGUAAGUGACUGUUAUUUGUUAUUUUUCAAAAUAUUCAUUCAAUUUGAAUUGUUCAUUGAAAUUCUUAGCUUCAUAUACUUGAAGCCUAAUUGUUCUUUUUUUUAGUAAUACGUUAUAUGAUUUAUUGGUUUUUACCUUUUGCAAGCUUAAUUGAUAACUGGUAAUGAGAUAAUGGAUUUGUUUUUAGAAUCUAUACUAUAGUAUGAAUAAUGUGAGGUGAGGUAAUUAAAUAUUUGAAUUUUGUUUUACAUAAUGAUCAGGUGAAGUAAAACUUAUGAGUUAAUUCCAACAGAAUACAUACGGUAAUUGAAUCUUGAAUUCCAAUUCUAUUGGAAUGGAAUCACGAAUUCCAAUUCUGUUGGAAUGGAAUAUGAAUAUUUUUUCACUGGUUUAUACAUGUUCUAUAAUUCUUGCUUAUUGGUUUUGGUGCAAUUCACAAGUCCGUAUAUUUUUCCAAAGGAAUUUAGUUUUUUAUUUUUCAUUUGCUAAUGCAUUAUUGGAUUCUAAACUACAAUUUGGUUUUGUUUUCACAGAAGUUGAUGCUUGAAGAACAGACCACAAAAUUGAAAGUGAUUCUAAGCAACAUUAUUCUUUUAGAAUGUAUUAGUGUCUUUGUUAGAUUUUGAUGUUUUCUUUCCCGAUUUGAAAUUUUUUUUAGUUUUAUUCUUUAACAAUAAAUGUAAUUCUUAGUAAUUAUUACCUGUAUUCUAUAGAAAUUAAUGUAAUUUUUGUUAUUAU